UACGAAGGGGGCUAGCGUUGUUCGGAAUUACUGGGCGUAAAGCGCACGUAGGCGGAUAUUUAAGUCAGGGGUGAAAUCCCAGAGCUCAACUCUGGGACUGCCUUUGAUACUGGGUAUCUCGAGUAUGGAAGAGGUGAGUGGAAUUCCGAGUGUAGAGGUGAAAUUCGUAGAUAUUCGCAAGAACACCAGUGGCGAAGGCGGCUCACUGGCUCGAUACUGACGCUGAGGUGCGAAAGCGUGGGGAGCAAACAGG
RNAcentral lists this ribosomal RNA (253 nucleotides) under uncultured bacterium. RNAcentral's name for it is "partial 16S ribosomal RNA". It matches the Rfam family "Bacterial small subunit ribosomal RNA", at positions 524 to 776 of the family's 1533-position model. The record is from RNAcentral.